UGGGGAAACCCAAGGACGGCCCCAACUGCAGUCCCCUGACCCUGACAUGCCCCAGGCGGGCCUCAGGACAGAGAUUUUCCAGGCCAGGCUCCCCCUGCCCUGGGGGGAUUGGAGGAAUCCUAGCGGAGCACAAGCUGCCCAGCACAGCCCCUCCAGCCCUGAAGCCUGAGGCCAGCAUCUCAGGACACAAGAGGCCAGGCUGGCCCACACCCAUUCUGCAGGCCAGAGCCAUCCUGCCACAGCCAACCCUGCCAGCACCAGGCUGCCCAGCCCCCAGCCAACUGGGCUUAACCAGGGUGGUGGGGGCUGGCACCCAACCCCAGCGCCACAGCUCUGGCCCUGCCUUGGUGGGCAGAUGGAGAGCACACCCAGAGAAGCCGUGGUUCUCAGCCCUCUGGACACCAAGGAGGACCCCAGCUCCAACCCCAGCCCCACACAGGGACACAGUGGCAAGGCCCAGACCUACACCCUGGCAGGUAAAUACCUAGGAGUGGAGUAUCUGGAUCAGACAGAAAUAUGGACACUUUAUUUAUGUGAAAGAGUCAGGAGAAGAACUGGCCACAGUGGUAAAGUACAUUAUCAAAAUAACCAGGAAACAUAGGACAAAGAAUAGCAGGAAAUAGUAUACCGUGUGUUUAUUAAGUUGGGUUGUAAAUAAGAGGGAUAGGAAAGCCCCUUCCCACACUCUUUUCCCGAUGAUCUCAUUUCCAACACCUUCAUAAGCCCCUUCUUUCAUUUGAUACACAGUCUUUCAUUUGAAAGCAGUCUAACAUGUUAAUGUGUCAGAUAAAGCUUGUAUCUAAAGACUGCUUUCAAAGGAAAGGUUCAUAGUCUUCUUAUAAUGUUUUUAUGUGGUUUUGAAAUCGGGGUAAUACUGGCCUCAGAGGAAGAGUUGAAGGUGUUCCUCUCUUUUCAGUUAUUGUUGGAAGGGUUUGUGCAGAGUUGACAUACUUCUUUCUUAAAUCUUUGGUAGAAUUCACCAGUGAAACCAUCUGGGCCUGGGGUUUUCUUUGCAGGAAGGCUUUGUUGUGUUUUAUUUACAAUUCAAUUCCUUUAACAUAUAGGGCCAUUCAAGUUAUUUCUGCCCAAGUGAUCUUCGAUUCAUCCUGUGUCCAAGGAGUUUGUCCUUUUCAUCCGGGCUGCCAAAUGUUUCGACUUGAAGUAGUUCAUGAUGUCCCCCUAUUAUCUUUGUAAUAUGUGUAGAAUCCACAGUGGCGUCACCUGUCUUGUUCCUAACAUUGGAGUGGAACGUGGUGGAUUUUCCCUACAUGCGGCUUUGGCUAAACCGCACGUUCCCCUCCCUCCUGAGGGUCUGUCUCCUCAUCCACCCGCUAGUGCAUCUCCAGCUUCUGUACCUCAGACUCACCUUGAAAGUCCACUUGACAUCCAUCACUGUGCAGUCAGUCAGGAAAAGGAAGCCACACUCGUUAUUUCAAACAGAAGGAAGUUAAUACAGAGAACUGGUUACACAGGUGCUGGAGGCUGGAAGAGAAGACGGGCACCGAGGCACCUGACGUUGUGAACAGCAGGAAGCAGCUUCCACUCCCAGGGCUGGGGGAACAAAUGAAAGAGGUUGGGCUGCCAGAACCCAGGAGCACAGAGAAAGGAUGGAGUGGCAGAGCCAGUAUUGGGAGUGCCAAAAGAAGUGGUGGGCUGGAGUAGCCACCCCCCUCUAUGGCUGGAGGGCCCUGAAAGAAGCUGGUGAAGGAACAGAAAUCUCCUCUCCUCACCUCCCACCAGUGCCUUCCAGGAAGACAUCUGGUCAAAGAGCCUGAAAAUACAGUGUGCACAAUCCCAGCCGCAUGUAUCAGUCAGCUAUUGCUGCAUAACAAAGCACCCAAAAACCAAGGGCUUACAACAAUGUGUUUCAUGGAUGAUAGACGGAUAGAGAGAUAGAAGAGAUAGGUAGAAAUGUGUGUGCGCACGUGUGUGUGUGUGUGUGUGUGUGUGUGAAUGUGUGUGUGUAUGGAUUAGGGUAUAUACAGAUGCUUUCUAGUAUUCUCCCCUGAGAAGGUCUACCAAAAAAAAAUGACACCCCAGUAGUAACUACCACACCCAAUGUCCAGAUCUUGGUUUCUAAAUACCAUUUUCCAAUUAAAAGAAUCAGGACUCCUUAGAGAAGUAGCUGGGUCUCUGGGGAAGGAAAUUACAAGAUAAACCUGGAGCAUUUUAUGGUGCCAGAAAGUGAGGAAGGGCUCAAAAACAGAUAGGGUGAAAGCACACAGGAGCCACUGUGAAGGGGCUGCCAUGGCCAACACUGGAACAAUUUGAGAAACAAAAUAAAGAUAAUGUUGGAUUAUAACCCAAAUAAUAAAAUAAGUAUCUACAAACCCAUAGUGAAGUAAAUAACUGCACAAACAAAUAAGAAGAAACAGCUUAUUUUAAUAGAAUUCCAGUUACUUAAUGCAGAAGAAAUGAAGUAAAUAGAAAAUCACCAUCAGAGGCCACAGGAUUAACAGCUGUCUACAGAGGUAUGCUAAAGUCAAUAGGCUGAGGUUAGAAGAGAAACAAGUUAUUUACAUGAAUUCAAAGUAUCUUCCCUAAGAUAUUUAUUAAUUACAAAGUCGCAAAAUAGUAACUUUGCAGUGCAGAGACCUGGCAGACGCCACCUGAACCAAGGGUUCAAGGUUAACAUCCCCAGCAAUGGGACAGGCAGCGUCAUACACUCUGAUAAGCUACAUAAGAGCACGUGGCCGGGCCCACUGGCUCACACCUAUAAUCCCAGCAUUUGGAGAGGCCACAUUGGGAAAACCGCUUGAGGCCAGGAGUUCGAGACCAGCCUGGGCAAUCUAGGGAGACCUUGUCUCUGCAGAAAUGUUAAAAAAUUAGCUGGGCACAGCAGUGCAUAGACUCUGGGGUUCCCAGGGACCUCAAACUCCACCCUAGUGGGGCUGGACCUGGGGUGUGGCCUGUGCCGGAUGUCCUCGCUGGCUGACAUUUGCUUUCUUUAUUACUCCCUUCCUUUAUUGCACCGUUUAAUUGUAUUAAAUGGUGCCCAAGGCAUAAGGUGCAGGAUUUUAUGGCCUCGGGGUGACCCUGCAGUGAGGCCUGGCCCUUUCCUUCUUUACUUUGUGAGCCCGGGGCUGCCCUGCCCUCAACGGUGACGCUAUGGGAGCCCUUGACUCAUGUGCCAGGAAUUGGGAGGGACGCCAAAGGCAGUGCUGUUUUCCAUACAGAGCUGUGGCACUCGUUACAGAAAUCAGAAAACACAAAACUGUCCGUGGGUGGAAGAAAAAUGUCCCCCUCCCCCUCCCCCGAGAAGCCUCUUAAUCCUUCAAAAUCUUUCCCACCUUCUGUGCAGGUCUGGGAGAUUCCUGACAUUGUCCUGGGCAUUCCUGGGGACAAUUAUGUAGCCGGAGUCUUUUCAUUAAAUGACAUUUGACGUCUCUGAACUUAAAGCAAUACACGUGCACCGAGGGCAUGUCCAGAUGCAGAGACGUGUUCGAAAGCUCUAGCGCGUCCCCAUGUCAGCGGCCUGGGGUCCCCAGGUGGCAGUAUCGUUUCAGGUGGGGAGGGGUCCCGGCUGCUGGGUGCCGUGGCCUGGCCUGGGCAGGCACAGUUGCUCAUCUGCGAUGGGUUCUGGAUAGCAGCACCCUUGCUGGUUAUGGGGGUGAACAGUGUUCGUGAAUCUCUGCCCGCAUGGGCACCCACGGGUGCUCCUAAGUUCUCCUGGUUAUUACCACAGAUUGUUUUACAGCCUCUUUUCCCCCACAAUAUAUCGGGGAAGUUAAAUAUUUGCUGAGAACAUGAUUAUUGAUUGAUUGAUUGAUUUUGAGGCAGGGUCUC
Homo sapiens (human) is the source of this 3786-nucleotide long non-coding RNA. RefSeq lists it as uncharacterized. The record is from RefSeq and is a predicted model, not a curated record. Lineage: Eukaryota; Metazoa; Chordata; Mammalia; Primates; Hominidae. The transcript is spliced from 5 exons.